RNAcentral lists this ribosomal RNA (708 nucleotides) under uncultured bacterium. RNAcentral describes it as "partial 16S ribosomal RNA". It matches the Rfam family "Bacterial small subunit ribosomal RNA", at positions 1 to 688 of the family's 1533-position model. The record is from RNAcentral.
GCCGCGAAUUCGCCCUUAGGGUUUGAUUAUGGCUCAGAUUGAACGCUGGCGGCAGGCCUAACACAUGCAAGUCGAGCGGUAGCACAGGAGAGCUUGCUCUCUGGGUGACGAGCGGCGGACGGGUGAGUAAUGUCUGGGAAACUGCCCGAUGGAGGGGGAUAACCACUGGAAACGGUGGCUAAUACCGCAUAACGUCUACGGACCAAAGAGGGGGACCUUCGGACCUCUUGCCAUCGGAUGUGCCCAGAUGGGAUUAGCUAGUAGGUGGGGUAACGGCUCACCUAGGCGACGAUCCCUAGCUGGUCUGAGAGGAUGACCAGCCACACUGGAACUGAGACACGGUCCAGACUCCUACGGGAGGCAGCAGUGGGGAAUAUUGCACAAUGGGCGCAAGCCUGAUGCAGCCAUGCCGCGUGUGUGAAGAAGGCCUUCGGGUUGUAAAGCACUUUCAGCGAGGAGGAAGGCCAAUAACUUAAUACGUUGUUGGAUUGACGUUACUCGCAGAAGAAGCACCGGCUAACUCCGUGCCAGCAGCCGCGGUAAUACGGAGGGUGCAAGCGUUAAUCGGAAUUACUGGGCGUAAAGCGCACGCAGGCGGUUUGUUAAGUCAGAUGUGAAAUCCCCGCGCUUAACGUGGGAACUGCAUUUGAAACCGGCAAGCUAGAGUCUCGUAGAGGGGGGUAGAAUUCCAGGUGUAGCGGUGAGAUG